Molecule: long non-coding RNA, 1746 nt
Organism: Salvelinus fontinalis (brook trout)
Lineage: Eukaryota; Metazoa; Chordata; Actinopteri; Salmoniformes; Salmonidae
Exons: 4
Source: RefSeq, a predicted model, not a curated record
UUAUAACACCUGUAAAGCGUGAGUGAUACAUGUAUAGUUAAAAGUCGCAGUGCUGUUAUACUCUACUCCAAUCAAAUUACUUCGUCGUAUUAUAAAUACUUGUGAACAUUUUCAGUUCUUUCCGAACUUUUACUUGCGUUUGCUUUUAGUAACAUUCAAAAUGCUUUUGACGGUGCGUUAUCUGCUGUUAUUGAGCCAUAUCAAUAGAUUGCACAGUCGCAGCCCUGAGUUCUGGUUGCUCCGUGGUAUUGACGGAUGCACUGAGGAAUCCAGAGUGUACAAUUCCUUCUAUCAUCAUUUAAAGAGAAACCACAUUCAACACUUACUUGAAGGCACCCGAACAGAUGAACAGCCAUCGGAGGAAAACCAAGUACAACCGGAACAAGUAUUUAGUAAGCAUUUUUUUUUUCUGGAUUUACAAAAAUAAUUUUAUUAACCGACGAUACACGGACCAAAGUCAUACUAUCCAUAGGCUAUACGAUAUUUUUUUUGCUAUAGUGACUCUUAUGGCUAAAGCUGGAUUAAUGUGAAAAUAAUCAAUGAUAAAUAGGAACAAAACACUUAAAUAGCUCUUGUUGAAACUAAAUACAAUUUCAAAUAAUAAUAUUUUUUCUUUGUGUGGUACACAGGACAACAUUCAACCUGAUCAGCUCCUAGCGAACUCUUGCAUCAGUGAUCAGCAACUCCAUACAUCUGACUCAGGUGAAGGGCAAAGGGGCAUUGACCAACAUGAAGCUGUCACAGUGCAACAAGUAAGGAUCUGACAACACAUGCCACUGCUUUUGUGAUAAAUGCCAGAGCCAAGCAUCGUCUCACACAGAAAGGUGUGAAUGACAUUGUCGCUGGGGUACAGCAGUAUCAAUCAUCACUAUUGGACAACCUCAGGAGGCAGUGCUGAAGAAGCAUUCAGGAAGCACAUCAGGUCAACUUGGAAAAAGAGAAACCAAAGGCUUUGCAGAUUGUUCUGUACACGGAUGAAAUGGAGAUCUGUAAUCCACUAGGAUCCUUUGCAUCCCCCAGAAAACAAGUUGUUAAUGGUGUACUACACCCUAGGAAAUAUAAAUCCAAAAUACAGGUCUAAACUGGCUGCUAGCAGGCUACUUUGGCAUGGCUAGAUCAGCAGACCUCCCUCAAUCUGGUGGAGAUGUAAUAUUGAAUAGAAUCAAGGAAGAGAUGGAUGCAUAUGUAACCGAUGUGAAAUGGCUAGCUAGGUAGCGGUGGUGCGCGCUAGCAGCCUUUCAGUCGGUGACGUCACUUGCUCUGAAACCUUGAAGUAGUGGUUCUCCUUGCUCUUUGCGAGUGCCGCGGCCUUUGUGGAGCGAUGGGUAACGACGCUUCGUGGGUGACUGUUGAUGUGUGCAGAGGGUCCCUGGUUCGCGCCCGGGUCGCGGCGAGGGGACGGAUUAAAGUAAAACUGUUACACAUUGUACAGUGGGGUUAAAAUGCAAACUAUUAACGGAGAGAAAACGAUAUAUGGUGCCAUGGUCUCUCUCUCUGUGGAGACACCCUGACACAACAUGAACUAGCAGGGUUCAAAGAGGGUUUGUGGGCUUUGCGUGGGCUUUGCCUACAGGAAGUGCAGACACGGUGAGUCUUCUUUUAAGGACAUACAGUCACUUUUCAAUAAGGAUGCAUAUAUGUAACAGUAUAGCUUCCGUUCCUCUCCUCGCUCCGACCUGGGCUCGAACCAGGGACCCUCUCUGCACACAUCAACCACAGUCACUCACGAAGCAUAGUUACCCAUCG